ACCGAGUUUGAGAUCAUAAUUAAAUCAGGAAAGCAUUGCAUUUUUAUUGUAUUUUAGGUCAGAAUAAUUACUUUUUUGAAUUUUUUUGAUUAUAAUAUCGCUUAGUUUAUUGCGUACUUCCAUUUCUAAAUAACUAAAAAUUCAUCCUUUCAAAAAAGUAAAAAUGAUAAAAAUGGCAAGCGGCAUUAGCAACAAAAUUAGGGACCAAGUUAGGUUAAAAGUAGGGUUUUUCUCUGAAAAAUACUCAAAAAUAAACUUGUAGCUAAAAAUAUGGGUUAGAAAUCCCGCCUCUUUUAUAAAGAUUACUAAAAAAAUAAUUGUAAAUUUAAGUUUUGCUAGACUAAAAAGCCUGUUAAAACGCAUAUGAACCUCCUAGGUAAAAUUUUUGAUUAAAUUUUAAGCAAAAAUUUUUGAGAUUUCUAAU
RNAcentral lists this ribosomal RNA (424 nucleotides) under Mesomycoplasma hyopneumoniae. Its description in RNAcentral is "Mycoplasma hyopneumoniae partial 23S rRNA". The record is from RNAcentral. Lineage: Bacteria; Bacillati; Mycoplasmatota; Mycoplasmoidales; Metamycoplasmataceae.